RNAcentral lists this ribosomal RNA (291 nucleotides) under uncultured bacterium. RNAcentral describes it as "partial 16S ribosomal RNA". It matches the Rfam family "Bacterial small subunit ribosomal RNA", at positions 28 to 320 of the family's 1533-position model. The record is from RNAcentral.
GACGAACGCUGGCGGCGUGCUUAACACAUGCAAGUCGAGCGGUAAGGCCCUUCGGGUACGACGAGCGGCGAACGGGUGAGUAACACGUGGGUGACCUGCCCUUAGCUCUGGGAUAAGCCUGGGAAACGUAGGGUCUAAUACCGGAUAUGACCUCAUGACGCAUGUUGUGGGGUGGAAAGCCUUGUGCGGCUAGGGAGUGGGCCCGCGGCCUAUCAGCUUGUUGGUGGGGUGAUGGCCACCAAGGCGACGACGGGUAGCCGGCCUGAGAGGGCGACCGGCCACACUGGGACU